UACGGAGGGUGCAAGCGUUGUUCGGAAUUACUGGGCGUAAAGCGUGCGUAGACGGUUAUUUAAGUCGGGUGUGAAAGCCCCGGGCUCAACCUGGGAAUUGCAUUCGAGACUGAAUAGCUAGGGUACGGUAGAGGGAAGUGGAAUUUCCGGUGUAGCGGUGAAAUGCGUAGAUAUCGGAAGGAACAUCAGUGGCGAAAGCGACUUCCUGGACCAGUACCGACGUUCAGGCACGAAAGCGUGGGGAGCAAACAGG
This 253-nucleotide ribosomal RNA is filed under the name uncultured bacterium. RNAcentral describes it as "partial 16S ribosomal RNA". It matches the Rfam family "Bacterial small subunit ribosomal RNA", at positions 524 to 776 of the family's 1533-position model. The record is from RNAcentral.